RNAcentral lists this ribosomal RNA (481 nucleotides) under Theileria ovis. Its description in RNAcentral is "SSU rRNA". It matches the Rfam family "Eukaryotic small subunit ribosomal RNA", at positions 529 to 1044 of the family's 1831-position model. Lineage: Eukaryota; Apicomplexa; Aconoidasida; Piroplasmida; Theileriidae. The record is from RNAcentral.
ACCUCUUCCAGAGUAUCAAUUGGAGGGCAGUCUGGUGCCAGCAGCCGCGGUAAUUCCAGCUCCAAUAGCGUAUAUUAAAAUUGUUGCAGUUAAAAAGCUCGUAGUUGAAUUUCUGCUGCAUUGAUUUUGCUCCUUUACGAGUCUUUGCAUUGUGGCUUAUUUCGGACUUUGUUUUACAAUGUCCGGAUGUUUACUUUGAGAAAAUUAGAGUGCUCAAAGCAGGCUUUCGCCUUGAAUAGUUUAGCAUGGAAUAAUAAAGUAGGACUUUGGUUCUAUUUUGUUGGUUUUAGGUACCAAAGUAAUGGUUAAUAAGAACAGUUGGGGGCAUUCGUAUUUAACUGUCAGAGGUGAAAUUCUUAGAUUUGUUAAAGACGAACUACUGCGAAAGCAUUUGCCAAGGAUGUUUUCAUUAAUCAAGAACGAAAGUUAGGGUAUCGAAGACGAUCAGAUACCGUCGUAGUCCUAACCAUAAACUAUGCCG